This is a long non-coding RNA of Brassica napus (rape), 462 nucleotides long. RefSeq lists it as uncharacterized. Lineage: Eukaryota; Viridiplantae; Streptophyta; Magnoliopsida; Brassicales; Brassicaceae. The record is from RefSeq and is a predicted model, not a curated record. The transcript is spliced from 2 exons.
UUUUAAUUAUAUAAUAAAAAAUAUAAUAUUAAGUUAUUUUAAAAUAUAUUUUAGAAAUUAAUCUAUAUAUAUAAAAAUGUGUUUGCGUCUCUCAUAAGCUAUCCACGUGGAAAAUCACUCUCUGACAAGCCGACACGUGUCUCUGGGUUUUAUUUCUUUGGCUCGACUUGAGUUUAACUUUGGGCUUAUACUAUGAACAAUUGACAGGGCGUCAAUUGUUCGCUGCACCGAUAUUGUUUCAGAUUUCGGAGUAAAAUAUAAUGUGUGCUAUGGUCCAUGUGACGACAAAGGAAUGUGUUGGCCGUAUUGUCAUACCAAAACAGGUCGGAAAAGGGGAGACUGUGUUGGCAAAGGAAAAGAUUAUUUAGGCAUUUGUUGUUGUGAUGAACAAUAGAUAAAAUAUUAAAUAAUAUCAUUAGAUAUUAUAUCUUGUAUGAAAUGAAAUAAUAUUACCAAUAAUAC